RNAcentral lists this ribosomal RNA (597 nucleotides) under Shewanella putrefaciens. RNAcentral describes it as "bacterial SSU rRNA". It matches the Rfam family "Bacterial small subunit ribosomal RNA", at positions 56 to 643 of the family's 1533-position model. The record is from RNAcentral. Lineage: Bacteria; Pseudomonadati; Pseudomonadota; Gammaproteobacteria; Alteromonadales; Shewanellaceae.
UGCAGUCGAGCGGCAGCACAAGGGAGUUUACUCCUGAGGUGGCGAGCGGCGGACGGGUGAGUAAUGCCUAGGGAUCUGCCCAGUCGAGGGGGAUAACAGUUGGAAACGACUGCUAAUACCGCAUACGCCCUACGGGGGAAAGAGGGGGACUUUCGGGCCUCUCGCGAUUGGAUGAACCUAGGUGGGAUUAGCUAGUUGGUGAGGUAAUGGCUCACCAAGGCGACGAUCCCUAGCUGUUCUGAGAGGAUGAUCAGCCACACUGGGACUGAGACACGGCCCAGACUCCUACGGGAGGCAGCAGUGGGGAAUAUUGCACAAUGGGGGAAACCCUGAUGCAGCCAUGCCGCGUGUGUGAAGAAGGCCUUCGGGUUGUAAAGCACUUUCAGUAGGGAGGAAAGGUUGUAAGUUAAUACCUUGCAGCUGUGACGUUACCUACAGAAGAAGGACCGGCUAACUCCGUGCCAGCAGCCGCGGUAAUACGGAGGGUCCAAGCGUUAAUCGGAAUUACUGGGCGUAAAGCGUGCGCAGGCGGUUUGUUAAGCGAGAUGUGAAAGCCCCGGGCUCAACCUGGGAAUUGCAUUUCGAACUGGCAAACUA